GGAUAUCAAAGCACUGAGAAUGCAAGUACUCACUUAAUCUAAGUGCAACCAAUGAUUUAGAUGGGUUUUAAACUAUGACUAAAACUAGAAAGCAAUAACAGAAUGAUACUUUCUUGACUAAAGGAAAAGAGAACUCAUGGGUAUAGGGAUUAGACCUUGGGUGAUCAAGUAUCGAACUAAGGAUGGCAGAUGAUCAAUCAAACUAUCAACCUUAAGCCUAGACACAAUUCUAAGCAAACUCUAUGUCUAGAUGAAUGCUCAUUUGCUAACAUAUCUCAAACAUCAAAUGUCUUUGGUUGAAUAAUAUGAAAGCAAUCAUUACUAACAAGUCUAUUAGCUAUCUUAGUACCUUUAACAACAAAUGUCUUUGGCAAAGUAUACUAAAAGCCUAGAAGAGUUGUCUCGGGCAUUUCAUCGAACACCUUUCGGGUGAGAAAUGCCUAAGGAUCAACAACUGAGUGGCCAACUCAGAAGAUGCAUUAUGAUUACUCUACUAGCAAGGAAAUAUGAAUGAUCUACACUAAAACAUCCUAGCUCUAACCUAAUCACCCUUAAUCUCCCUAACCCAUGAAUUCAAAAGGUGAUUACUCACUAAUCUCCAUGAUUCCUCUUAAACCCAUAUUGGAUUUCAGAUUAAUCAUGUAGAGAAAUACAGGAAAUAAAAGGAACACAGAAUUUCAAUAACAAACUGAUCAAUUCAUUCAAAGAGAUCCCUUUCCAAGGGUUUUUGGUGGUUUUUCUAAGAACAAAGAUGAUCUGCCUCCUGGUGGCUUACAGAGUAAUAAAACAUAGGUUUAGAAAAUAAAAACGUGCAUAAUGAAAUGACCAAAAUGCCCUUGAGAAAUCACAAGUUCGAGCAGAAACAAAACACGGAGCGACCUCAGCCCGUCGCUCCGACAAGUCGCUCCAGGCUUCGGGAGCGACCUCGCUGUGUCGCUGCGAGAGGUCGCUCCGGGCUCGUUCUGAGCAUCUCCGGGUGAUGAAAACGCGAGCGAUUUCUCCCUGUCGCUCUGGUAUGGUCGCUCUGAGCUUCGGGAGCGACUUCAGCACGUCGCUCUGGAAGGUCGCUCCGAGGUGUAAAUGUGUGUCUCCAGACGUGAAAACACGAGCGACCUUGUGCAGUCGCUCUGGAUGAGUCGCUCCGGGAUGUGGUGCACAGCGACCUCAUGCCGUCGCUCCGAGAGGUCGCUCCGGCUGUGCUCGUCCAAAGAUCACUCUUUUCACCUCUUUUGAGCUCCAAAUAACCUCAUGUGGUACUCCAGUACCUAAUAGAGACUCAUGUAUGCAAAAUGCAACCUAAACAUGUCUGAAUCCUAAUCUAUAUGAUGAAAAUGCUCAUGGAUGAAUGGAUAAAACAAUGCAAAUAUGCAAACUAAGGAUGGCAGAUGAUCAAUCAAACUAUCAACCUUAAGCCUAGACACAAUUCUAAGCAAACUCUAUGUCUAGAUGAAUGCUCAUUUGCUAACAUAUCUCAAACAUCAAAUGUCUUUGGUUGAAUAAUAUGAAAGCAAUCAUUACUAACAAGUCUAUUAGCUAUCUUAGUACCUUUAACAACAAAUGUCUUUGGCAAAGUAUACUAAAAGCCUA
RNAcentral lists this long non-coding RNA (1587 nucleotides) under Brassica rapa (field mustard). RNAcentral describes it as "long non-coding RNA (BRAP_LNC006457)". Lineage: Eukaryota; Viridiplantae; Streptophyta; Magnoliopsida; Brassicales; Brassicaceae. The record is from RNAcentral.